Molecule: small nuclear RNA, 104 nt
Organism: Cervus hanglu yarkandensis (Yarkand deer)
Lineage: Eukaryota; Metazoa; Chordata; Mammalia; Artiodactyla; Cervidae
Source: Ensembl
GUGCUCACUUCAGUAGCACAUAUAUUAAUAUUUGAAUGAUGUAGAAAUUAGUAAAGGCUCUGUGUAAAGAUGACAUGCAAAUUCAUGAAGCAUUCCAUAUUUUU